CGCAGUGGGGCGCCUGGUGAGCCCUUGUGGCUGGGGUGCUGCGUGUGUUCACGUCUAGGACCGCAGAAUGAGCGGUGUUCGCCUGGGCGUCGGCUUCCGCUCCUGCAGCUGCGUGAUGCCCACCCCGAGGCCGCCGGCCUGCACACCCGUGAGACCCUCGGGCUGACGCGGCUACUCCUGCUCCGCUGUGCCGGCAGCCACUGUGGUCACCGGGACGCGUGCCGGUUACUGUCCUCUGCUCUCUGGUCACCACACGCCCCGUCCCCGGUGCUGUAGGUGGCGGACCCGCAUCUGUAGCUCCUCUGAGCUUCUGGUGCCUCCUGCGCGUUUCCUUCGUGGAGCCUCCUGCGUGUCCUGGCGACCGGUGGAAGUCGUGUUUGCGCUGAACAAGCCAGAGGUGGUUUCUCGCUACAGCAGGGGGGACCCGUUCCACAUCCUGUGACAGGGACGGCGGAGGGGGUGUCCCUGGCCAAUGGAGGGCUCGUGGACGCUGGGCCCACCGUGGACUCAGGGAUUUCUGUUUGUCUUUAGGGUCUUAUUACCUUCCUGGGGCUGCCCUAACGAAGUCACAGACUCAGGGCUCAAACCGCAGGCAUCCCUCUCAGCCUGCAGGCCGCAAGCCCUAAACUGAGGUGUCGCGGGGCCGUGCUGCCUUUGGGGGGGCACCCUGUGCAUCUUCCGGCCUCUGGUGGUGCCAGACAUCCUCGCCAUCCCUUGGUUGGUGGAUGCGUCACCCCCUCUCUGCCUCCAGGGGCACACGGUGUUGCUCUCUUGUUGGGAUGGGACUCACCGACUCCAGCUGGUCACCGACUCCCUCUUACUGAUGGUGCCUGCAGUGGCCCUGUUUCCAACCCCAGGACGCCGUGGGGAUUGCACAGCAUCGGUGCGUCCGGAGCUGCUGGGUUCUUCUCAGUGGCCGCGUGAGAAGCCGUCGGGAGACUUUCAGGACGUAAUCACAAAGGCCAGAACGAGCAGAAGGCACCCUCACAGACCAAGCGUGAUCUGAGUUCCUGCCAGGGAGCACUGGGCCCAGGACAUGGGUGUUCGUCACCCAAACGUUCACGUGUUCCUGCGUUUGCUUUCUCCUUCUCACAGCUGAAUCUGCGGAGUGGAAUAUGUCGGGCUGUGUUCCCCACACCAGGCUGUGCUGCCGCCGGGGCGGCCGUUCGUGUUGCUGCAACGAUACAUGGUCUCUACUCUGCAGUCUGCAUUCACAGGUCUUCGGUUCUCUGUCCCGGGAAGGACUCCCACUUCUCCUGGGGGCCCUUCCGAGUACCUCACCUUCUUGCCAUCGUUGCCGGGGUCCCUCUGCCAUUCCAUCCUCCAACUGGUGACUUCGUGCAGCUAUGAGGACUUUUGGUUUUUGUGUGUUAGUUUUAGCCUUACUGAGUUCGUUUUAUCCUUUGAGUCUGUUUCCUCCCUGUUGAUGGCCUGGUGCCACGCUCGCCGCCCGGUCCGGAGCCCCAUGUGGCUAAGCUCGCGUGUACAGAUGAGAUGAAACGAGACCAGAGGCUCACGAUGCCGCCACAUUCGCCCCAUUCCCAGUGCUUGGCGGCCGCACGGGCUUGGCGGGUUUCCGGCACUGAGCUUGUGGGACAUCCCCUCAUCGUGAAAAGUUUACUGCAUAUUACUGUUCCAGCGUUUUCCAGGUACAUCAGUGUAGCCUUUGCAAAUGGACACAGCUGGCUUUGGGCUCUGUUCUCGGGGCCCUCACGGGUUCCCCGUGUCUGACUGCAGUGGCUGAGGCCUCCAGGGCCGGGCUGGCGGGCGGUGAAGGCAAGCAUAGUCCUCAUCUUGCCCCUCAUGACACCAGCGUCUGCUUCAGUGAGGUGGAGACUUUAGAAAAGGCUAUGUUACUAUGUUAAGAAAGCGGCUGUCACUUCCUAUUUUCCUUACUGUUUGUACUUUUAUCAGGAAUGGGUGUUAAAUUUUGCCAGAGGCUUUUUGUGCACCUAUGGGGGGAAAGCAUGUGAUUUUUCUCUUCGGGUCUGUCAAGAGUGACUUUCAUAAAU
Molecule: long non-coding RNA, 2012 nt
Organism: Prionailurus viverrinus (fishing cat)
Lineage: Eukaryota; Metazoa; Chordata; Mammalia; Carnivora; Felidae
Exons: 3
Source: RefSeq, a predicted model, not a curated record